RNAcentral lists this ribosomal RNA (475 nucleotides) under uncultured bacterium. RNAcentral's name for it is "bacterial SSU rRNA". It matches the Rfam family "Bacterial small subunit ribosomal RNA", at positions 328 to 793 of the family's 1533-position model. The record is from RNAcentral.
CUCUGUGACUCCUACGGGAGGCAGCAGUCGGGGAAUAUUGCACAAUGGGGGAAACCCUGAUGCAGCCAUGCCGCGUGUGUGAAGAAGGCCUUCGGGUUGUAAAGCACUUUCAGUAGGGAGGAAGGUAGUGUAGUUAACACCUGCAUUAUUUGACGUUACCUACAGAAGAAGCACCGGCUAACUCCGUGCCAGCAGCCGCGGUAAUACGGAGGGUGCGAGCGUUAAUCGGAAUUACUGGGCGUAAAGCGCAUGCAGGCGGCCUGUUAAGUCAGAUGUGAAAGCCCCGGGGCUUAACCUCGGAAUUGCAUUUGAAACUGGCAGGCUAGAGUCUUGUAGAGGGGGUAGAAUUUCAGGUGUAGCGGUGAAAUGCGUAGAGAUCUGAAGGAAUACCAGUGGCGAAGGCGGCCCCCUGGACAAAGACUGACGCUCAGAUGCGAAAGCGUGGGGAGCAAACAGGAUUAGAUACCCCUGGUAG